ACAAUCCCUAUCACGGUCAUAGACUGAACCCCACAAGAAAAUAUUUGGUCUUUAAUUAUUGGUGUAAGAAAACAAACAAAAAUUCAGACUAUGAAUUCUUCAUUUUACUUUGAAGCAAAGAUAAAAUGACGAAGCAUCAUGUACACAAAUAAAUAAAGAACUAUCAAGGCAAUAACAUCUGUCAUUGGUCACAAUGAAAGUAAUGCGCGUGUAUGCUUAUAUGGGAAUCCCAUUGCAAUCAAGUAAUAUCUCAUCUGCACUUGCAACAUUCAGGAUGCUUGAGGAGCCCAUUUACAAUCUUCCCGAUACAAUCUCAACGACUGUGAUUAGACUAAAGGAUCCCUGAAUAGAAUAUCCUAAUCAUUUCUCAACAUGAUGACCUGCCAGCUGAUGUCAUUCAGAAGCUUCCUAAAGGAAGUACUGUCAUAGCAGUUGAUCAGAAGUCCUUCCACCAGUUCCUUGGUUCUCUUGCUCUAUCUUGGCACAUUCGGUACUCUUUUUGUUCUUCAUUCCGGACUUUUCACCUAAUCAAAUUCCCUUGUAUUCCAGGAAUUUUUCUUGAAGCUUUUGAGUGAAAACAUUUAUAUAUGCUACUCAUCAAAUAGAACUUUAAUUUUACCAAAUGCGAAUCUUAUAUAUCCUGGUGAGUGAUUCAUAUAGUUUGAAACAGUAACUCAUCUUUCCUAGGAAAAUAAGGUAUCCCCUAUCUCUACAUUCCUUUUAAUGGUAACGAGUUAGCAGUUGAAAAAUGGCAUUCAUGCUAUCAGAUGAAUCGAUCCUGGCAAUUGCUUUCUUAAUAUUUGCUGUCAGAGAAGAUGGAGAGAAUCGGAUUGUGGGGCAGAAGCAACUACUAGUCUGUGCAAACGGAUAGCCAGCAAAAAAGACAAUGUUCACCAUUCAGCGGGAGGUAAAAAAUUCCCCUCCACCUUUUUGAUGAACCAUUAAUUUCUCGAAGGUGUUUAACAAUGAAUGAUUCUUUAUUUUAUUUGAAAGCAAAGAUGCUAUCAAGUACACAAAUAGUCACAUAUUGAAAGUAAUGCAAGUAUUCUCCAUCUUUCCCUCA
Non-coding RNA from Theobroma cacao (cacao), 1063 nucleotides. Lineage: Eukaryota; Viridiplantae; Streptophyta; Magnoliopsida; Malvales; Malvaceae. The record is from RefSeq and is a predicted model, not a curated record.